CAAGAUCUAGUAACCCCCGCCAUCUCCAAUGGACAACUUCGUGGGUGUCAAGGCUGUUGCCUAUAACGCGCUUGUUACCGCAACAGCCGCGACCACCCGCAAGCCCGGCUGUGCGAAGACGUUAGAAGACUUCAAGCAUUGUCUCAACACCUUCGUGGAAUGUUGUGACUACCCCGGCGACAUGUUCUGUGGACUUGAACAGAUCACAUACAUCCACCUCGCCAUCGAAGAUGAUCUGCAGGCUGCCGCCAAUGCUGAGGAGAAAGAGGUGCAUGAAGAGAAGGAUACAACAGCCAUGCCGUCUAUGUCGGUGAUGGUUGCUGCCAUCAAGGAAAAGUAGAUCUAUCGGUCAAUUGAUAUUGUGCCUUAUUGUUGUGAUUUGAUUGGUUCUCUUGGUUAUUAUGCUAAUCAGGUGAGAUAUAUCGCUCAUGAAUAAAAUGGUGAAAAGUUUGGAGAAGUGAAUCAGUAUAUUACUAAAUGCAAAUUAAUUUGUCACAUUUAGUUUUCAGGUCAUGAUGCUAUGAUCAUGAUAUUAUUGUUUAAUUAUGGACCGAGA
RNAcentral lists this long non-coding RNA (556 nucleotides) under Hordeum vulgare. RNAcentral describes it as "long non-coding RNA (HVUL_LNC002318)". Lineage: Eukaryota; Viridiplantae; Streptophyta; Magnoliopsida; Poales; Poaceae. The record is from RNAcentral.